RNAcentral lists this small RNA (1787 nucleotides) under Pan troglodytes (chimpanzee). RNAcentral's name for it is "retained intron". The record is from RNAcentral. Lineage: Eukaryota; Metazoa; Chordata; Mammalia; Primates; Hominidae.
AGGACGUGCGUUGAUGGAGCAGGCGGCGGGCUCGGGAGUUCGAAUCCCAGUUCCCCGACUCCCACUGUGGGAUUUGGCCUGAGGGCAGGAGGUGGCUUCUGCUUUCGGAGCCUCAGUUUUUCCAUCCGAGAAACGGGGGAAUCGUUCCCCUGUUCUGGGAUGGAAGAGAGGGUCAAUUAGAAUCCGCUCUCCCUGCAUCCCUCUCUGCCUCCCUCUCUCCCACCGCGUGCCUGGCCCCGCAGUUCCGCGAGCGGGAUGCCCUGGAGGCCGUGUUCCGCUUCUGGACUGGCGGCGAGAAAGGGCCCGAGGCCUUCCCCAUGAGCCGCCUCUGGGACUCGCGGCUGCGCCACUACCUGGGCUCCCGCUACGACGCCCGGCGCGGUGUCAGCGACUGGGACCUGCGCAUGAAGCUGCAUGACCGCGGGGCCCAAGUCAUUCACCCCCAGGAGUUCCGACGCUGGCGGGACACAGGCGUCGCCUUUGAACUCAGGGACUCCAGCGCCUAUCAUGUGCCCAACCGGACCCUGGCGUCCGGUCGCCUCCUGAGCUACCGUGGGGAGCGCGUGGCAGCGCGCGGGUACUGGGGGGACAUCGCCACGGGGCCCUUCGUGGCCUUCGGCAUCGAAGCGGACGACGAGAGCCUCCUGCGGACCAGCAACGGCCAGCCAGUCAAGACGGCCGGGGAGAUCACUCAACACAACGUGACGGAGCUGCUCCGCGAGGUGGCCGCCUGGGGGCGCGCGAGAGCCACCGGGGGGGACCCGGAGGAGCAGCAGCACGCGGAGGGAAGCCCGGAGCCAGGGACUCCAGCAGCCCCCACCCCGGAAUCUUUCACCAUCCACUUCCUGCCGCUCAAUUCUGCUCAGACUCUCCACCACAAGAGCUGCUACAACGGCCGAUUCCAGCUCCUCUAUGUGGCCUGUGGUAUGGUCCAUCUUCUCAUCCCUGAGCUUGGGGCCUGUGUGGCACCCGGAGGGAACUUGAUUGUGGAAUUAGCCCGGUACCUGGUGGACGUGCGGCAGGAGCAGCUGCAGGGAUUCCACACCCGGGUCAGGGAGCUAGCUCAGGCAGCUGGAUUUGCUCCACAGACCGGGGCCAGGCCUUCAGAGACCUUCGCACGUUUCUGCAAGUCCCAGGAAUCAGCUCUAGGCAACACUGUCCCAGCUGUGGAACCCGGAACUCCGCCCCUUGACGUCCUGGCCCAGCCUCUUGAAGCCAGCAGCCCAGCCCUCGAGGGCCUGACCCAGCCUCUGCAGGGCGGGAACCCACACUGUGAGCCCUGCCAGCUGCCCUCUGAGUCUCCAGGUUCACUCUCAGAGGUUCUGGCUCAGCCUCAGGGGGCCUUGGCUCCGCCCAACUGUGAGUCAGACUCCAAAACUGGAGUCUGACCCAACCCCUAGACACCCCUUAUCUCCAACUUCCAAAGUCAGGUUGUAGGAUGAGAACCCGCUGAUACCAUUCUAAGUCCGCUGCUAGAGUCCUCAAUUUUAUUCUAAUCAUUCCCACUCAGUACCCGCCACCCCCACCCCGGGAGUGUUGGUAGACUUUCAAAUUCCAUUUCUGAGAUUCUAUGGUCUAUUCCUAGAAUUCUAGAUUGUUCUCUCAGAAUUCCAAAUUCCACUUCUGAGGCUCUAAGCCCAGCCUAGGAUCUGACACUGAGUCUCAGGCCCUUGACUUUGGCCCCCUUGUUCCCAGGCACCCUGUGGCUGACUGGGGGCUGGGGUGUCUCCUCACCAGGGCCUGGUCAGCACCCAGAUGGUUCAAGUAAAGCAAGUUGUGUCCACCCU